Molecule: ribosomal RNA, 254 nt
Filed under: uncultured bacterium
Lineage: Bacteria
Description: partial 16S ribosomal RNA
Rfam family: Bacterial small subunit ribosomal RNA
Source: RNAcentral
UACGAAGGGGGCUAGCGUUGCUCGGAAUUACUGGGCGUAAAGCGCACGUAGGCGGCUUUCUAAGUCGGGGGUGAAAGCCUGUGGCUCAACCACAGAAUUGCCUUCGAUACUGGUUGGCUUGAGACCGGAAGAGGACAGCGGAACUGCGAGUGUAGAGGUGAAAUUCGUAGAUAUUCGCAAGAACACCAGUGGCGAAGGCGGCUCACUGGCCCGAUACUGACGCUGAGGCACGAAAGCGUGGGGAGCAAACAGGG